CCUACGGGUGGCUGCAGUGAGGAAUAUUGGUCAAUGGCCGGAAGGCUGAACCAGCCAAGUCGCGUGAGGGACGACUGCCCUAUGGGUUGUAAACCUCUUUUAUAAGGGAAGAAUAAAUGCUACGUGUAGCAUGAUGCCUGUACCUUAUGAAUAAGCAUCGGCUAACUCCGUGCCAGCAGCCGCGGUAAUACGGAGGAUGCGAGCGUUAUCCGGAUUUAUUGGGUUUAAAGGGUGCGUAGGCGGGCUGUUAAGUCAGCGGUCAAAUGUCGGGGCUCAACCCCGGCCUGCCGUUGAAACUGGCGGCCUCGAGUGGGCGAGAAGUAUGCGGAAUGCGUGGUGUAGCGGUGAAAUGCAUAGAUAUCACGCAGAACUCCGAUUGCGAAGGCAGCAUACCGGCGCCCUACUGACGCUGAGGCACGAAAGCGUGGGUAUCGAACAGGAUUAGAUACCCUGGUAGUC
RNAcentral lists this ribosomal RNA (459 nucleotides) under uncultured bacterium. RNAcentral describes it as "partial 16S ribosomal RNA". It matches the Rfam family "Bacterial small subunit ribosomal RNA", at positions 338 to 795 of the family's 1533-position model. The record is from RNAcentral.